AGGGAUAUAGUUCAAUGGUUAGAGCACUUCCCUGAUACGGAAGGAGUUAUAGGUUCAAGUCCUAUUAUCCCUA
Molecule: transfer RNA, 73 nt
Filed under: Crassvirales sp.
Lineage: Duplodnaviria; Heunggongvirae; Uroviricota; Caudoviricetes; Crassvirales
Description: tRNA-Ile
Rfam family: tRNA
About the family: Transfer RNA (tRNA) molecules are approximately 80 nucleotides in length. Their secondary structure includes four short double-helical elements and three loops (D, anti-codon, and T loops). Further hydrogen bonds mediate the characteristic L-shaped molecular structure. tRNAs have two regions of fundamental functional importance: the anti-codon, which is responsible for specific mRNA codon recognition, and the 3' end, to which the tRNAs corresponding amino acid is attached (by aminoacyl-tRNA synthetases). tRNAs cope with the degeneracy of the genetic code in two manners: having more than one tRNA (with a specific anti-codon) for a particular amino acid; and 'wobble' base-pairing, i.e. permitting non-standard base-pairing at the 3rd anti-codon position.
Source: RNAcentral